UACGGGGGGGGCAAGCGUUGUCCGGAAUCAUUGGGCGUAAAGAGCGUGUAGGCGGCCAGAAAAGUCCGCUGUGAAAACUCGAGGCUCAACCUCGAGACGUCGGCGGAAACCAUCUGGCUAGGGUCCGGAAGAGGAGAGUGGAAUUCCUGGUGUAGCGGUGAAAUGCGCAGAUAUCAGGAAGAACACCCGUGGCGAAGGCGGCUCUCUGGGACGGUACUGACGCUGAGACGCGAAAGCGUGGGGAGCGAACAGG
RNAcentral lists this ribosomal RNA (253 nucleotides) under uncultured bacterium. Its description in RNAcentral is "partial 16S ribosomal RNA". It matches the Rfam family "Bacterial small subunit ribosomal RNA", at positions 524 to 776 of the family's 1533-position model. The record is from RNAcentral.